UUUUUUCCCCAUGCCACAUGUUAAGUUUUAAUUGGGCUUGUUUUAAAUUUUGAAUUUUUUCUAUCAACCAAGUGGGGUGUUGAUUUUCCUCAUGAAACAUCUUUUGUUUUAAUUUUUUUCUCUCUCUCUCUCUUCAUUUCAUUUAUAUCUUUAUUUAAAAUCAAAUUAAGUUUAGUUUUGGGAUUUGGCCAUUUUGAAUCUAAGCUAUUCUUUUUCUUUUGUUUACACCUCAUAUUCAUAUUUG
Molecule: long non-coding RNA, 244 nt
Filed under: Lathyrus oleraceus (garden pea)
Lineage: Eukaryota; Viridiplantae; Streptophyta; Magnoliopsida; Fabales; Fabaceae
Description: Pisum sativum (pea) long non-coding RNA (PSAT_LNC038564)
Source: RNAcentral